Molecule: non-coding RNA, 125 nt
Organism: Hordeum vulgare subsp. vulgare (domesticated barley)
Lineage: Eukaryota; Viridiplantae; Streptophyta; Magnoliopsida; Poales; Poaceae
Source: Rfam
AAACUACUCCCUCCGUCCGGGAAUACUUGUUGGAGAAAUGAAUUUAUGUAGACGUAUUUUAGUUAUAGAUACAUCUAUUUCUAUCUAUUUUAACAACAAGUAAUUCUGGACGGAGGGAGUAUUUC